Molecule: ribosomal RNA, 446 nt
Filed under: uncultured bacterium
Lineage: Bacteria
Description: partial 16S ribosomal RNA
Rfam family: Bacterial small subunit ribosomal RNA
Source: RNAcentral
CCUACGGGUGGCAGCAGUCGAGAAUCAUUCACAAUGGGGGAAACCCUGAUGGUGCGACGCCGCGUGGGGGAAUGAAGGUCUUCGGAUUGUAAACCCCUGUCAUGUGGGAGCAAAUUAAAAAGAUAGUACCACAAGAGGAAGAGACGGCUAACUCUGUGCCAGCAGCCGCGGUACUACAGAGGUCUCAAGCGGUGUUCGGCAUCACUGGGCGUAAAGCGUGCGUAGGCUGUUUCGUAAGUCGUGUGUGAAAGGCGCGGGCUCAACCCGCGGACGGCACAUGAGACUGCGAGACUAGAGUAAUGGAGGGGGAACCGGAAUUCUCGGUGUAGCAGUGAAAUGCGUAGAUAUCGAGAGGAACACUCGUGGCGAAGGCGGGUUCCUGGACAUUAACUGACGCUGAGGCACGAAGGCCAGGGGAGCGAAAGGGAUUAGAUACCCGUGUAGUC